RNAcentral lists this long non-coding RNA (533 nucleotides) under Brassica napus (rape). RNAcentral describes it as "long non-coding RNA (BNAP_LNC005739)". The record is from RNAcentral. Lineage: Eukaryota; Viridiplantae; Streptophyta; Magnoliopsida; Brassicales; Brassicaceae.
CUCUGCCUCUAUUUUAAUCUCCGCGUGGUUUGUAACAACUCUCCCAUCCAAGCAUCUAAUUUCCCGAAUGGUGUUUUGCGCUUGUCUUGUUCUGAUGGAAUUGUGAAAAGUUUUAUUAUUCUGAUCUCCCACUUCCAAUCAGUGAAGUUUAGCCAUCUGCUUAAGAAAAUCCUCCUCCAGUUCUGCAACGUGUAACCACUUUUCAUAAGCCUCAGCUUCCUCCUGAAUUGUCUCCAUAUUAGGACUUGAUAAUGUUUUCUUCUGUUUCACACAUAGAGUAGCAUGCACUUCAUUUGCUCUUUUAGUAAGAUUCCCAAGCUUUUCUCUUCCUAACUCUCUGACCAACGGUUUCAGAUUCUUCCACUUCUUUGAGAAACGAUACAUUGCUGAAGUAGAAUGAAAUAGUUUCCCAGUUGAGUCCAUGAACUCUUUCACCAUUGGCAUGAAGUUUGGUAACUUUCCUAUAGCAUUGACGUACUUAAAAGGUCACCUUAUUUUUUCCACAGGUUGAAAUACUUGCAUCUUACAUCUCA